GUGGCUACUCAGGGCACCGCCAUGAUAGGCUGUGGCCGGAAGGAGAGUCGGGGCGUCGCCAUGACACAGAGGCCUUGAAAGGGCUAAGGCAGCCUGCUUGCUUUGCCACGCCGUACUGAGACCGGAAAAGAGGAGGCAAGGCGGGUUGGGCGCCACCAUGACAACCUACAUCGGAAGAGGCCAGUCCUCCUCGGAGACUGCACUGUCUGGGCCACGAGGGGCGGAGCCUGGACACUGCGGAGAUAGAGCAAAAGAACCAGAACUGGUCUUCAUUCCUGCUGAUUGAACACCUGGUGGACUAAAGUAGAAAAUAUGGAUGAAUGACAAGCUAUGGUAUCCAAGACUGAAAAAUAAUCACUGCAUUAUUUUCUUCUGGCUGAAUAUACAUGAACGUGAUGGUUCUAGGGAACAGUAAGAUGACCCUCAGGUGGGAUGCACAAGUUCCAGUGUUUAUUUGCCAGCAGAGGGCAUUCCCACAACAUACAUGGUUGUUCAGGCAUAGGAAGUAAUGA
Molecule: long non-coding RNA, 512 nt
Organism: Globicephala melas (long-finned pilot whale)
Lineage: Eukaryota; Metazoa; Chordata; Mammalia; Artiodactyla; Delphinidae
Source: RefSeq, a predicted model, not a curated record